RNAcentral lists this ribosomal RNA (1346 nucleotides) under uncultured bacterium. RNAcentral's name for it is "bacterial SSU rRNA". It matches the Rfam family "Bacterial small subunit ribosomal RNA", at positions 28 to 1381 of the family's 1533-position model. The record is from RNAcentral.
GACGAACGCUGGCGGCGUGCUUAACACAUGCAAGUCGAACGGAAAGGCCCUGCUUUUGUGGGGUGCUCGAGUGGCGAACGGGUGAGUAACACGUGAGUAACCUGCCCUUGACUUUGGGAUAACUUCGGGAAACUGGGGCUAAUACCGGAUAGGAGCUCCUGCUGCAUGGUGGGGGUUGGAAAGUUUCGGCGGUUGGGGAUGGACUCGCGGCUUAUCAGCUUGUUGGUGGGGUAGUGGCUUACCAAGGCUUUGACGGGUAGCCGGCCUGAGAGGGUGACCGGCCACAUUGGGACUGAGAUACGGCCCAGACUCCUACGGGAGGCAGCAGUGGGGAAUAUUGCACAAUGGGCGGAAGCCUGAUGCAGCAACGCCGCGUGCGGGAUGACGGCCUUCGGGUUGUAAACCGCUUUCGCCUGUGACGAAGCGUGAGUGACGGUAAUGGGUAAAGAAGCACCGGCUAACUACGUGCCAGCAGCCGCGGUGAUACGUAGGGUGCGAGCGUUGUCCGGAUUUAUUGGGCGUAAAGGGCUCGUAGGUGGUUGAUCGCGUCGGAAGUGUAAUCUUGGGGCUUAACCCUGAGCGUGCUUUCGAUACGGGUUGACUUGAGGAAGGUAGGGGAGAAUGGAAUUCCUGGUGGAGCGGUGGAAUGCGCAGAUAUCAGGAGGAACACCAGUGGCGAAGGCGGUUCUCUGGGCCUUUCCUGACGCUGAGGAGCGAAAGCGUGGGGAGCGAACAGGCUUAGAUACCCUGGUAGUCCACGCUGUAAACGGUGGGUACUAGGUGUGGGGUCCAUUCCACGGGUUCCGUGCCGUAGCUAACGCUUUAAGUACCCCGCCUGGGGAGUACGGCCGCAAGGCUAAAACUCAAAGGAAUUGACGGGGCCCCGCACAAGCGGCGGAGCAUGCGGAUUAAUUCGAUGCAACGCGUAGAACCUUACCUGGGUUUGACAUGGAUCGGGAGCGCUCAGAGAUGGGUGUGCCUCUUUUGGGGUCGGUUCACAGGUGGUGCAUGGCUGUCGUCAGCUCGUGUCGUGAGAUGUUGGGUUAAGUCCCGCAACGAGCGCAACCCUUGUUCACUGUUGCCAGCACGUUAUGGUGGGGACUCAGUGGAGACCGCCGGGGUCAACUCGGAGGAAGGUGGGGAUGACGUCAAGUCAUCAUGCCCCUUAUGUCCAGGGCUUCACGCAUGCUACAAUGGCUGGUACAGAGAGUGGCGAGCCUGUGAGGGUGAGCGAAUCUCGGAAAGCCGGUCUCAGUUCGGAUUGGGGUCUGCAACUCGACCUCAUGAAGUCGGAGUCGCUAGUAAUCGCAGAUCAGCAACGCUGCGGUGAAUACGUUCCCGGGGCU